CAACGACGGUCCUUGCAAGAGAAAGAGAGAAAAGAUUUGGAGUGCGGAGCGUGCCUCCUAAGCUUGCGGCUUAGGAAACGGUGGGAGGAGGCGGUGUGCCCAGGUCUUCACGGACAGGAUUCGGAGUUUCCUCCCAACCCUGCGCUUUCCACGGAAGAGAGGCGAGGAGAGUUUGGGUGAGUGUAGAGACCAGAAGAAGGCGUGGAAUCUCCUGGAGCUGGAGCUGAUUGUGACUUGCCUGAUGUCCGUGAUGGGAACUAAAUCCAGGACUUUGUGAAAGUGGUACUAUUUUUAACUACGGAGCCUUUUCUCUAGCCCAUUUGGUGGUGGUGGGGCUAUCAAGCAUUUUGAUUGAUUGUUGCAACCCUCAACACGUGACAUCAUAUAGGGUCCCUGGUGAGCCAUUAAUGGCUCUGUAUCUCUGUUCCUACAGAAGACAGAGAGAUCUUUAAUAGCCUUUGUACCACCUCUUUGCCCUGGACCAAGACCACUGAACCCCAGGCUAGGUGGUCACCUCUGUCUUUCCUCUAGUGGUACUCUCUGCAGGAUUUGCCUCCUGUGCUUUUGGGUCAUCUUGGGAAGUGAUUUUGGUCCAUGAAUCCCAGGAUCUUUGUCUACAAAAUGACCUGAGGUGGAGUGGCUUCAUAAACACUAGGUGACCAUGAGGUGGAGCCUGAUGGACAUGGGAUCACUGUUGUUGCAUCCACUGGCCACACACCUGCAGAGUUGACUAUUCAAUUGAGAACUGACUCCUCCCCCUCCUGCUAGGUAGACCCCUCUAUGAGUAAAUUGAAUGGAGCUUGGGUUGCAACAAAACCCUCAAAUAGCUGUUGUGGGCACAGGCUGGGCUCUUAGGCAAAACAAAGGGACACUUGGCUAUUUUUUCUCUAAACUGAUCUCCUGGGCUCUUCUGCAUGUGUGAUGGGGGUCAGUCUGGCAGAGUGGGGAGCAGGCCAGACAUCAUAUCUCCCCAUCUAGGAGCCCUGGCAGGGCUGAGGCCAUGGAUAACUUUUGCUUGUAUCCUCAGAACUCAACACAGGGCAUGGCACAGAACAGACACUCAUUAAUCAUGUUUAAGUUAACAAAUAAACAUAACCCUGGG
This 1102-nucleotide long non-coding RNA is filed under the name Mus pahari (shrew mouse). RNAcentral's name for it is "lncRNA (MGP_PahariEiJ_G0003761.1)". The record is from RNAcentral. Lineage: Eukaryota; Metazoa; Chordata; Mammalia; Rodentia; Muridae.